UCCCCGUUACCGGGGCAGUUCAAGUAGAAAAAUACAACUACUUGCAAGGGUUGCGCUCGUUGAUGGACUUAACCAAACAUCUCACGACACGAGCUGACGACGGCCAUGCAGCACCUGUCACUUGGCUCAAUAAAGCACUCUUGCCUUUCGGCAAAAUUCCAAGGAUGUCAAACCCUGGUAAGGUUCUUCGUUUAUCAUCGAAUUAAAGAACACGCUCCACCGCUUGUGCGGGUCCCCGUCAAUUCCUUUAUGUUUUAGUCUUGCGACCGUACUCCACAGGCGGGAUACUUAACGCGUUAGCUUCGCUACUGAAGGGGUCGAUACCUCCAACAGCUAGUAUCCAUCGUUUACGGCGUGGACUAC
RNAcentral lists this unclassified non-coding RNA (363 nucleotides) under uncultured bacterium. Its description in RNAcentral is "contains 16S-23S intergenic spacer region". The record is from RNAcentral.